RNAcentral lists this ribosomal RNA (292 nucleotides) under uncultured eukaryote. RNAcentral describes it as "partial 18S ribosomal RNA". It matches the Rfam family "Eukaryotic small subunit ribosomal RNA", at positions 6 to 291 of the family's 1831-position model. The record is from RNAcentral.
GGUUGAUCCUGCCAGUAGUCAUAUGCUUGUCUCAAAGAUUAAGCCAUGCAUGUCUAAGUAUAAACAUCUUUAUACAGUGAAACUGCGUACAGCUCAUUAUAUCAGUAAUGAUUUAUUUGAUGGUACCUUACUACAUGGAUAACCGUAGUAAUUCUAGAGCUAAUACAUGCAUAAAGUCCCAACUUUCGAGGAAGGGAUGUAUUUAUUAGAUAAAAAAUCAAUGCGGUCUUCGGGCCGGUUUUGUUGGUGAUUCAUAAUAACUACUCGAAUCGCAUGGCUUCAUGCUGGCGAU